RNAcentral lists this unclassified non-coding RNA (303 nucleotides) under Hevea brasiliensis (rubber tree). The record is from RNAcentral. Lineage: Eukaryota; Viridiplantae; Streptophyta; Magnoliopsida; Malpighiales; Euphorbiaceae.
UGAAGCUAAAGGGAGGAUUAAGAAAGGUGAUAGGACAUGGCAAAUUGCAUUUGGUUCAGGAUUUAAGUGUAAUAGUGCUGUGUGGUGUGCAUUAAGGACUAUUAAUCCUGCUAAGGAGAAGAAUCCUUGGAUGGAUGAGAUUGAUGAAUUUCCAGUUGAAGUGCCUAGGGUUGUGACAAUUAAUGAUUCUUGAAGAAUGUUUUGUUUAACCUAAAAAAAGGGGAAGCAAAAGGAACUAGUUUAUGUGUUGUGAUCAUUGUAAUAUUACCUCACUUUGUUGUUGUUGUUUGGUGUUAUAACUAG